This 400-nucleotide ribosomal RNA is filed under the name uncultured Glomeromycotina. Its description in RNAcentral is "eukaryotic LSU rRNA". The record is from RNAcentral. Lineage: Eukaryota; Fungi; Glomeromycota.
GAAAAGAACUUUGAAAAGAGAGUUAAACAGUACGUGAAAUUGUUGAAAGGGAAACGAUUGAAGCCAGUCGUACUCACGGGUAAUCAACCUCUCUGGCGCGAUUAUGUGGGCGUGUUGGAGUCUAAUCAGCCCUCACGUUCUGAUAUUCGUUCCCCUUGGGUGUACUUGCCUGUGCGGUAGGUUAACAUCAAUUUUGGACGUCAUAAAAUGACGGGAGGAAUGUAGCUUCGGUCUCGUACUGAAGUGUUAUAGACUCUGGUAGAUGUGACGUUUGGGAUUGAGGAUUGCAACGGAUACCUCUCGGGGCUACCUGUCUGGCCUCUGAUGAUUGCUAUGGUGCCGAAAGCUUGCUUACGGUCAUCAAAGUUGAUUGUCAAAAGGUUAGAACGGGUUAAAUUCG